GGGCCCGCACAAGCGGUGGAGCAUGUGGUUUAAUUCGAUGCAACGCGAAGAACCUUACCUACCCUUGAAAUCCUCAGAAUUCUCUAGAGAUAGAGAAGUGCCUUCGGGAACUGAGUGACAGGUGCUGCAUGGCUGUCGUCAGCUCGUGUCGUGAGAUGUUGGGUUAAGUCCCGCAACGAGCGCAACCCUUAUUACUAGUUGCCAGCAUUUAGUUGGGCACUCUAGUGAGACUGCCGGUGACAAACCGGAGGAAGGUGGGGAUGACGUCAAAUCAUCAUGCCCCUUAUGACCUGGGCUACACACGUGCUACAAUGGAUGGUACAACGAGUCGCAAGGUCGCGAGGCCAAGCUAAUCUCUUAAAGCUAUUCUCAGUUCGGAUUGUAGGCUGCAACUCGUCUACAUGAAGCCGGAAUCGCUAGUAA
RNAcentral lists this ribosomal RNA (423 nucleotides) under uncultured bacterium. RNAcentral's name for it is "bacterial SSU rRNA". It matches the Rfam family "Bacterial small subunit ribosomal RNA", at positions 917 to 1341 of the family's 1533-position model. The record is from RNAcentral.